This 483-nucleotide ribosomal RNA is filed under the name uncultured bacterium. RNAcentral describes it as "partial 16S ribosomal RNA". It matches the Rfam family "Bacterial small subunit ribosomal RNA", at positions 28 to 507 of the family's 1533-position model. The record is from RNAcentral.
GGCGAACGCUGGCGGCGUGCCUAACACAUGCAAGUCGAGCGGGGAUUUAAGUGGAAGUUCUUCGGAAUGGAGAUUUAAAUUCUAGCUGCGGACGGGUGAGUAACGCGUGAACAAUCUGUCCCGUACAGGGGGAUAACACUUGUAAACAGGUGCUAAUACCGCAUAAUACCACGGCCUCGCAUGGGGCUGAGGUAAAAGGAGCAAUCCGGUUCGGGGUGAGUUCGCGUCCGAUUAGCUAGUUGGUGAGGUAACGGCCCACCAAGGCGGCGAUCGGUAGCCGGCCUGAGAGUGUGAACGGCCAUAUUGGCACUGAGAGACCGUACAAUCCUACACGGGGGGGAGGAGUGGAGAAUAUUGGGAAAUGGGCGAGCGUCUGACACAGCAACGGCGCGUGGGGGAAGAAGGUUUUCGGAUUGUAAACCUUUGUCCUAUGGGAAGGAGGAAGUGACGGUAACAUAGGAGGAAGCCCCGGCUAACUACGUG